UGGGGAAUAUUGCACAAUGGGCGCAAGCCUGAUGCAGCCAUGCCGCGUGUGUGAAGAAGGCCUUCGGGUUGUAAAGCACUUUCAGCGAGGAGGAAGGUGGUGAGCUUAAUACGCUCAUCAAUUGACGUUACUCGCAGAAGAAGCACCGGCUAACUCCGUGCCAGCAGCCGUGGUAAUACGGAGGGUGCAAGCGUUAAUCGGAAUUACUGGGCGUAAAGCGCACGCAGGCGGUUUGUUAAGUCAGAUGUGAAAUCCCCGGGCUCAACCUGGGAACUGCAUUUGAAACUGGCAAGCUAGAGUCUCGUAGAGGGGGGUAGAAUUCCAGGUGUAGCGGUGAAAUGCGUAGAGAUCUGGAGGAAUACCGGUGGCGAAGGCGGCCCCCUGGACGAAGACUGACGCUCAGGUGCGAAAGCGUGGGGCAGCAAACAGGAUUAGAUACCCCUGGUAGUCCAGCGCUGUAAAACGAUGUCGAUUUGGAGGUUGUGCCCUUGAGGCGUGGCUUCCGGAGCUAACGCGUUAAAUCGACCGCCUGGGGAGUACGGCCGCAAGGUUAAAACCAAAUGAAUUGACGGGGUCAUAGCUG
This 583-nucleotide ribosomal RNA is filed under the name uncultured bacterium. RNAcentral's name for it is "partial 16S ribosomal RNA". It matches the Rfam family "Bacterial small subunit ribosomal RNA", at positions 355 to 932 of the family's 1533-position model. The record is from RNAcentral.